GACGAACGCUGGCGGCGUGCUUAACACAUGCAAGUCGAACGAGAGGACAAGAGAAGCUUGCUUCUUUUGGAAUCGAGUGGCAAACGGGUGAGUAACACGUAAACAACCUGCCUUCAGGAUGGGGACAACAGACGGAAACGACUGCUAAUACCGAAUACGCUUGGGAGACCGCAUGAUCUUCCAAGGAAAGGGUGGCCUCUACUUGUAAGCUAUCGCCUGAAGAGGGGUUUGCGUCUGAUUAGGCAGUUGGUGAGGUAACGGCCCACCAAACCUACGAUCAGUAGCCGGUCUGAGAGGAUGAACGGCCACACUGGAACUGAGACACGGUCCAGACUCCUACGGGAGGCAGCAGUGGGGAAUCUUCCGCAAUGGGCGAAAGCCUGACGGAGCAACGCCGCGUGAGUGAUGACGGCCUCGGUGUAAGACUCUGUGAUCGGGGACGAACGGUCCGUAAGCC
This 457-nucleotide ribosomal RNA is filed under the name uncultured bacterium. RNAcentral describes it as "bacterial SSU rRNA". It matches the Rfam family "Bacterial small subunit ribosomal RNA", at positions 28 to 462 of the family's 1533-position model. The record is from RNAcentral.